AUGUUGUCCCUUCCUCUUCCUCCCCAUGCCGAACUCCCGACCACCUCCGCCUGCCUCCUCCGCCCGCGCGGCCGUCUCCUGCUCGGGUCCAGGUCCAGCAGAGCCGCCACGAAGAAUCUCUCGGUUGCCUCCCCGGAUGCUUCGAGCCUGCGCCUCGCCUCCGUGGCCGUGCCCUCCCCGCGCGCCUCUGUCCGACGCCCAGACGGCGGUGGCCUCCUCGUCCUCUCCGUCGAUGCUUCCGCGGUUGCAAUAUCUGCCAGCUUCAUAUUCUUUUCGGCGGUUCCCUCCAUGUUGGAUUGCAAGAGGGCAGCAGAGUCUCUUGAAAAGUCAUUUGAUCUCACAAGGGAGAAGCUUCCUGAAACUAUGGCUUCAGUGAGACAAGUUGGAAAGGAGAUCGGUGAUUUGAGUGUUGAUCUCAGCGACCUAAGUCAAGAAUUGAAUAAGGUUGUCAGGAGUUCAUUUAGCAUUGUUCAUAUAGCUGACGCUCAACUUCGCCAGCUGGCAACCUCUGCCCAACAAGGAACCGCUCAGCUGGUGGCUAAUCGGAAGAAAGCGGUAGGGGAGCCACUGGUGGCUACUACCGUUAGAGAAGUCCGUGAGUUGAUUGCGGACAUCCGCUCAGGAUUUGGAACAGCCUUCAGCAUCGCAAGCCUUUUCAUGUGGGCAUCAAAGUUUUGGUCCAGACGUCCUAAGAACAAUUCGUAG
This 705-nucleotide ribosomal RNA is filed under the name Triticum aestivum (bread wheat). Its description in RNAcentral is "partial small subunit ribosomal RNA". The record is from RNAcentral. Lineage: Eukaryota; Viridiplantae; Streptophyta; Magnoliopsida; Poales; Poaceae.